Molecule: small nuclear RNA, 101 nt
Filed under: Canis lupus dingo (dingo)
Lineage: Eukaryota; Metazoa; Chordata; Mammalia; Carnivora; Canidae
Source: RNAcentral
GUAUAGACCACUAACUACUUUUGUUUAAAUGAAAGAUUACAAGAUUGGCAUGACCCUCGUGCAAGGCUGAUACACAGAUCUGUGAAGUGUUCCAUAUUUAA